RNAcentral lists this ribosomal RNA (833 nucleotides) under Rhizomucor miehei. RNAcentral describes it as "partial large subunit ribosomal RNA". It matches the Rfam family "Eukaryotic large subunit ribosomal RNA", at positions 71 to 938 of the family's 3401-position model. Lineage: Eukaryota; Fungi; Mucoromycota; Mucoromycetes; Mucorales; Lichtheimiaceae. The record is from RNAcentral.
AUGAUACCCUUAGUAGCGGCGAGCGAAGUGGGUAAAGCUCAAGUUUAAAACCUGUUUGUCAUAGACAAACCGGAUUGUAAACUAUGGACAUGUUAUCCAGGCUCUUUGGACCUUCAAGUCCUUUGGAAUAAGGCUUCACAGAGGGUGACAAUCCCGUAGAGGGUCUUGAACAGAGUCUAUUGCGAUGCAUGCUCCAAGAGUCAGGUUGUUUGGGAAUGCAGCCUAAAGUGGGAGGUAAAUCCCUCCUAAAGCUAAAUAUUGGCGAGAAACCGAUAGCAAACAAGUACCGUGAGGGAAAGUUGAAAAGGACUUUGAAAAGAGAGUCAAAAGUACGUGAAAUUGCUUAAAGGGAAGCGUUUGGAGCUAGUUUGGCUAGUCUGUUAUCAGCCUGAGCUUCGGCUUUGGUGUACUAUCAGGCUAUUUUUGCCGGCCAACUCUCAGGAUUGAAAGGAAAGCUUGGUGCUUUGGAGUCUAAAGAGACCCUCGCGGAAGCCUCUGGUGGAGCGUGGUCUGCCUUGGCCCUUUUGAGCCUAUAGUUGGCUUAAUGGCUCUAAACGGCCCGUCUUGAAACACGGACCAAGGAGUCCACCACUGUUGCGAGUGUUUGGGUGGCAAACCCAUACGCGAAAUGAAAGUGAAAGCUAUGAAAUCCGCAAGGAUGGCAAUAGCGUCCGGCCUUUAGGACCGAGACAAAGCAAUAGUGAUGGGACCCGAAAGAUGGUGAACUAUGCUUGAGUAGAGUGAAGCCAGAAGAAAUUCUGGUGGAAGCUCGUAACGGUUCUGACGUGCAAAUCGAUCGUCGAACUUGAGCAUAGGGGCGAAAGACUAAUCGA